UACGUAGGUGGCAAGCGUUGUCCGGAAUUAUUGGGCGUAAAGCGCGCGCAGGCGGUUCCUUGAGUCUGAUGUGAAAGCCCACGGCUCAACCGUGGAGGGUCAUUGGAAACUGGGGGACUUGAGUGCAGAAGAGGAGAGCGGAAUUCCACGUGUAGCGGUGAAAUGCGUAGAGAUGUGGAGGAACACCAGUGGCGAAGGCGGCUCUCUGGUCUGUAACUGACGCUGAGGCGCGAAAGCGUGGGGAGCAAACAGGAUUAGAU
RNAcentral lists this ribosomal RNA (260 nucleotides) under uncultured Anoxybacillus sp. RNAcentral describes it as "partial 16S ribosomal RNA". It matches the Rfam family "Bacterial small subunit ribosomal RNA", at positions 524 to 783 of the family's 1533-position model. The record is from RNAcentral. Lineage: Bacteria; Bacillati; Bacillota; Bacilli; Caryophanales; Anoxybacillaceae.